Long non-coding RNA from Cuculus canorus (common cuckoo), 5395 nucleotides. RefSeq lists it as uncharacterized. The transcript has 6 exons. The record is from RefSeq and is a predicted model, not a curated record. Lineage: Eukaryota; Metazoa; Chordata; Aves; Cuculiformes; Cuculidae.
GAGGGUGGGGGGAUCCUUGGGUGGCUUCUGGGGCGCUGUGAGGGGAUGGAGGAGUCCCGAGUGGCUCCUGGGUGCUGUGAGAGGACAGAGGGGCCCCAAAUACCACUGGGUGUGUGCAUGAGGGGGCUGGGGGCAGGACAAGGGAGGGGAAGAGAUUGUCUGUUCGGGAAGCAGAGGCAAUAGCUGUCCUGCUCUGGGUUUCACCUCGGCCUCAGGUGAUGCAACACUUGUCUUCUAGAAGUGCUGGAGUCUCUUGGCCCCAGACAGUGGAUUUGGGGAAAAGAUGAUCUCUGAGUCAGCUGCAGAGGAAACCCAGCACUGCUCAGACAGCCCCUGUGAAUCUCACAUUUUAUCAGACUUCCACCAUCGCAUUUUUGAAGUGUGGUACCAUUGCCAUGAUGGAAGAUGGAUGAGAGUCCUGUGAGAAUGACGGCAGCGAGUAAAACUGAAUCCGGCAUGCUCUGGUUUGCAACAAGCGUUAAGGAUUAUUUGUUUAAAAUGAUAUUUAUCGUGCUUUCACGGAAGAGAGGAUUUGGAGAAAGAGUGCUGUCUCUUGGCACCACUGCUGUCACCCAGGCGAGAGCUGCCUCUCUGGCACUUAGAAACAGGAGUGGUCUUUGUAACAGGAGUUGCGCGGAGCUAAAUAGCAGUGGACUGACUUUAACUUGACCUUCAUCCUGGAGAGCUGCUGAAGGAACGCGUCCUUGUCACUGGCACAGAGAUGCCUGUGAGCUCUGGGACCAACAGAGCAGGGCAAAGUCAGGGGAAAAGGGGGUCUUCUAAACUGUUUGUGCGCUUUGGAGAUAUUGCCAGAGCUUACAUGUUGAAGCAUCCUGCAGGAGAAACUAGCGUGAAGUGCCAUGGAAAUGCUGUUUGCCAAACUCCAGAAGGAGGACUCCAGACUAUGGGAAGAGAGAGCCUGACCUGAGAGAGAAAGCAGGCUUACGGAGCCCCUCCGGAGAGGGACGGACCCUCUAUUCGGUAGAAGAUUCGAACAAGCUGGAAGAGAUGCUGAAGCACGUGUUGCAGAGCGAGGAAAGAGCAUCCCUAUUUCUCAGAUGCAGCCCAGGCGAGCGUCUUACCCAAAGCCCCACUACAGCGGCGUGACUGACGCUCGGUUGGGACAGCAGAAGCUGUUGCCCCUGUCAUCCAAGAUACCCACCACUCUCACACCAGGGCUGCUGUGCUCUGCAACCCAUCUGAUUAACGCGUACAGCAGUCAUUUAUCUUCAUUCUAGAAUAUCUCCCUGGCAUCCCUCUUGGCUGCUUCAGAUGUGGAAAAUCGCACAAUAGUCUUUCUUUCUCUUGCGUCUUUGAGUUUGUCUUGCUUUGUGCAGCACGUGGCUGGAAAUGAUAAAUGACUCCUUCCAGCUACUGGGAACUUUGCUGUGCUUGGCAUGAUUUGCGUUCACAGCCUUGUUUACUCUUCUCACAGUUUCCCUCCUUCUCUUAGAAAGAACCAGCAGACUCCAACCAGUAUGUUUAGUUAGGAUUAUUGCUGGCCUUCAGCCUGUCAUUUUUCUUGCAUAUCUCAGCCCUCAUUUCUCCUUAGAAUCAGUACUAUCUCCUGCAGGUGUACGUGCUACCUUUCCUUUCCAAAUAAGAUUGCCUAUUCAGCCUGGAAAUAGGGAUAAAGGCAUCCUGUGAAGUCCCAAUAGUCUCUGAUCUCUUUUGAGUGGGUGGAAAUAAUGGGAUUUUAAAAGGCUGUCAACUUAAAAUGUCUGCUGUAGGUACAGUACAGCUCUGGGAAGGCAAGCUGUUGAGGUUUGUUUCAGCAAAGGCUUAUUCUUCUCUUAUGCAUCUGGUAUUUUAAUUUGUUUUCUACAAGGAUUGAUAUUUUGGUGAAGAAAGGAGAAAACAAGCACUUCAGAAUGAAAUGCCUGCUGAUAACCCGAGAAGGUGGGUGAAAAUUCCCCAUCUAACUAGACCCCAGCUGGGAAUUCCUGUGUGGAUGUUAUUCCACGAAUGAAUACCCAGAGAGGCAACAGGACUCUUCUGUUACCCGAGUGCCUUUUCUUCUUACGCAGUUAUUCCGUAGCAUUCAAUAUUGCUGGUCUGGAGACAGUCUUAACGGUCUUGGAGAAAGCAAGCAAUAAAGAGCGAAGGGUAAAGCAGUUUUGAUAUUUUAUUGUUUCCAUCGAUGAUCAGGUGAAGCUUUAUAGUUAAAGAAUUAGUUGUUACAGUUAAUAUUAGUUAUUGUAGUUGUAGAAUCAAUUAGAAUUAAUUCCUCAAAAGGUUGAGAGGACAGUGGCCAAGCAGUAGAGCAGAAGGAUGCCUCACAUCUAAGAGAAGAUGGUCCAGACAUGAAAAUAGCAUGAAAAUGUGUGGCAACAGGGGCUAUGAAACACCACAGGGCCAGACCCCUCCUGCGAGUGGAAGGAUUGUGUGUGACACCACGGCCUCUGUGCCACAGCAGAAAGCUGUAAGGAUGAGCUGCAGCCGCUUUGGUGUCCAGCCCCUUCCUCUUCAAAUCCUUCCUUCUCCCAGAGGAUGUGUUGGCGGUCUCUGCCCAUGGGGGUUGCUGUGCUGUUCUGCAAUAGCUUUUGUUGCCUAACCUUUGAGGUACAAGAUGUAUUAUUCCUCUUCAGAUCAUAGAUAAAGUUAGAGGGUGGUGAUAAGGUAUUAAAAUGAGUUCUGUCAGCAAUAGGGAAGAAGUGGCCAGUGCUGAAAUAUCGAGGGAGGAAAUUAGCACAUCAUUAUCUCCAGAUGUGAACCUGGGAGCUGCAGACUAGAGAAACUCUGUGAUGUGUUCAGGUUAUUUGAGAAUAUGAGGCUUCCAUUCUUUCUUUGCCUCUGUACUGGACUCUUCAUAAAGCUGGCAAGUGCUCUGUUUGCAGUGUCUUACAGCCUAAGCCACGCAAAGCUCUGGCCUCUACUCUCGAGGCUGUCCUGAGCCACUCUGCCUGCCAAGCAGCCGGGAGGUACCGGGAGUGCAAGUAAGGAGCAGCCAGGACAGCUGAGAUGGGGGGGGUUCUUGGGCUACCGUGACCCUGCUGGCAGCCUUUCUGCAUGUAGUUUAUUUGAGCCGGUGGUUUUGCAGCUGCUUUGAACACCGUUCCAGCUGAGAUCAGUGAGGCUACCGGACUCAAAGGAGUGAGUUUUAAAGCCUCUGCUGAGCGAGCCUAGUCUUGUCAGGUGUUGGCCUGGGGUGGUGGUAAUGGUUGGGAAAUGCAUUUUUGUGUCUCCAGGAGAUGUGGUGAAGAUCCUGCAGUCUCUAGUGUCUUCUUUUCAGCAGUCCCUCCACGUAAUCAGGUGAGAUGCGCGUGCUUCCUCUUGGAUGUGCACGUUGUCCCAGCCCUGGGCAAAGAGGAUAAAAGUUGGUUCUAGGAAAUGUCUUAGAAAGAGAUGGAAGUGCUAACAUUGCGUAAGAAAAGCUGGAAGGGGCCAGCUGAGAAAUGGAGACUGAAAUGGCAAAAAUACAAACCUGGGGUUAAGUCAUUCUCUUCACCGCUGUGCCUGGUUUCUCACGUCAAAUUGAUGGUAAGAGCAAACUAAGGGAGAGUAGAGGGGUUUGCAUUAAAGAUGGAUCAUGUGAGGGACCCAUGUGGUGUGGGUUUAUAUACAGCUCUGCUCAUCUUCUGGAGCUUUUACAAACAUUAGAACAUCUUGUCUCUUCAGACUUUCAAGCUGCAGCACUGUCAAGCUUUAGUCCUGGCCUGGCCUGAUCGGCAGCUGAACAUGAGCGGUUGUGAUCCCAAUCCCCUCCUCCAUCAGGGAAAGGGAAAUGAGAGAAAGACUUGAGGGUUGGAAACUGAAACGUAAACAGCUUUAGUGAAGCAAGAAUAUAAUAAUAGGGAAAAUACUAUUAACAAGCAAAUACUAAAAUAUAUAUAAAUAUACAAACCCCAAACCUCAGUGUUAGGACAGGAGAGCUCUCCUGAGACGUCCUCCUUUUAGCAUUGAUAAGGGCUGAUUGAUCACCUAGGGAGAAGGUGUCAAGCCAUUUGAGAACGUGGUGGUGGCUCUGCGUGGAGAGGUGAUCUGGGGAGAAGGUAACUGAUUCUCUUCAGUCAUCAGUAGCCCCAGCAAACUUCCAGAAUGACUCUACUGCUCAAAGCUAAUUCUGAGACAUUCAGGUUUAAGCAGCAAGUGAAGCGUUUCCCCCAAAGCCCUGCUGACAGUUUUGGUUUUCUGUUGUUCGGCACAUAGGAGGCUGCAAACGCAGCACAGCUUGCGUGUAUUGUUUCAGGGUUUAACACAUAAAGGGGUGGUUGGGUUGCCUUGCAAUGUCUUCCAGCCCAUUCGCUACUUGAAGGUGAACUGUUCCACCUCUUCUGCCCUGAGCAAUCUCUCCAUCUGGGUGCCACCACUUCAGCCAUCAAACAGGAGCCAACAACUCUGAUAUAUGAAGGUGGACCAACCCUCUGGAUCCUUGUGCUGAAAUCUGGGAGGGUCUUCAGGGCACCUUGGAUUAUACUUUGGCUGGAGGAGGGAGAGAGGAGGCUGGUGCUCCGCACAGCAUAUGAGUCUGCUGUCUUCCUUGGGUGACUGGAAAGGGAUGAGCUCUGGGUUCCCCUGUGAGCCUUUGAGACCACAGAUUGCUCCACGCUACCUGUGCUCUCUGUACUACUGUCUCAGAAAGGUGGUAACCUUUCCUGUGGUUACUUCAGUUUGGUUCCCUAAACUGUGUGUCUCCUCCAUGGCAAAAAAACCCGUCAAGGUGUAUUUACCAUGAAGGAUGAUGAGAUUUUAAGCGAGUAAUUGAGAUUUAAAGCUCCCAUUACGAGAUCAAAUAAACUAGAGUUGUUUACUAAACUUGUCUUUUAAUUAGAAGAAAUUAUUUCAGUACAUCUCUCCCAAAGUCCUUGAUAGCCAGUGACCUAGUUUUCAUGGAGUGACCUCGCAGCAGUGCAGUCCCUCACCCAACUGCACUUGGAUGAGGGAGAACAAUGCAUGCGUGUGGUGAUGGUACGUAUGCCCGGAGUUUGAUUGCUCUGCUAUUCAAAGUUUCCUUCGGUAGAAAUACUGUUUUAUGUUUCUUUGGCAGCUUUUCUCCGUGCUACUUGUCCUGGUUUAAUUGUAAGGAGUCAUGUGUUGUCAGCUGUGCACGUUGCUGAAUACAAUGCCUUUGGGUGGUAGUGAGCACAAGUGACACCUUAAUAAGGGUCCCUAGAAACACGACUUUACUACAAGGCUGCCCCCAUCUCCCGACAAUUGUCAGAUUAGGGCUUAUUAGUCACACAUCCCUCCUCUGAAAACAACUAUUUGUCAUGCUCCUGCUCUGUGCCAAGUCCUCAGAAGACCUAUUAGGUUUUGUUGUCUUUGCUAAUGACGGCUGCUUUUUAAUUGCUCAGGUAGUAGAAGCGGGGCUUGAAAACUCAAUCAGCAUUAUCUCAGCUUAUCUCCCGGUCCCUACUGGAUUUAAGCAGAUCAAGACAUUCAUAGGGAUCACGUG